This 253-nucleotide ribosomal RNA is filed under the name uncultured bacterium. RNAcentral's name for it is "partial 16S ribosomal RNA". It matches the Rfam family "Bacterial small subunit ribosomal RNA", at positions 524 to 776 of the family's 1533-position model. The record is from RNAcentral.
UACGGAGGAUCCAAGCGUUAUCCGGAUUUAUUGGGUUUAAAGGGUGCGUAGGUGGCCUGGUAAGUCAGGGGUGAAAGACGGUAGCUUAACUAUCGCAGUGCCUUUGAUACUGCAGGGCUUGAAUGUACUUGAGGUAGGCGGAAUGUGACAAGUAGCGGUGAAAUGCAUAGAUAUGUCACAGAACACCAAUUGCGAAGGCAGCUUACUAAAGUAUGAUUGACGCUGAGGCACGAAAGCGUGGGGAUCAAACAGG